Molecule: transfer RNA, 76 nt
Filed under: marine sediment metagenome
Description: tRNA-Arg
Rfam family: tRNA
About the family: Transfer RNA (tRNA) molecules are approximately 80 nucleotides in length. Their secondary structure includes four short double-helical elements and three loops (D, anti-codon, and T loops). Further hydrogen bonds mediate the characteristic L-shaped molecular structure. tRNAs have two regions of fundamental functional importance: the anti-codon, which is responsible for specific mRNA codon recognition, and the 3' end, to which the tRNAs corresponding amino acid is attached (by aminoacyl-tRNA synthetases). tRNAs cope with the degeneracy of the genetic code in two manners: having more than one tRNA (with a specific anti-codon) for a particular amino acid; and 'wobble' base-pairing, i.e. permitting non-standard base-pairing at the 3rd anti-codon position.
Source: RNAcentral
GGGGCCAUAGUGUAACUGGAGAACACGAGAGAUUACGAAUCUCUUAAUCCUGGUUCGAGUCCAGGUGGCCCUACCA